RNAcentral lists this ribosomal RNA (377 nucleotides) under uncultured eukaryote. RNAcentral's name for it is "partial 18S ribosomal RNA". It matches the Rfam family "Eukaryotic small subunit ribosomal RNA", at positions 592 to 976 of the family's 1831-position model. The record is from RNAcentral.
CAAUAGCGUAUAUUAAAGUUGUUGUAGUUAAAAAGCUCGUAGUUGGAUUUCGGGGUGGCCUGCCUGGUCCACCGCAAGGUGAGUACUGGUCAGCCGCCCUUCCUCUCGAAAGCCCCGACUGCUCUUCAUUGCAGUGGUCGGGUAGUUCGGGACGUUUACUUUGAAAAAAUUAGAGUGUUCAAGGCAGGCUCUCGCCUGAAUACAUUAGCAUGGAAUAAUGGAAGAGGACCUCGGUCCUAUUUUGUUGGUUUCUAGGGCCGAAGUAAUGAUUAAGAGGGACAGUUGGGGGCAUUCGUAUUUAAUUGUCAGAGGUGAAAUUCUUGGAUUUAUGAAAGACGAACUAGUGCGAAAGCAUUUGCCAAGGAUGUUUUCAUUAA